Long non-coding RNA from Oxyura jamaicensis (ruddy duck), 521 nucleotides. RefSeq lists it as uncharacterized. The record is from RefSeq and is a predicted model, not a curated record. NCBI's taxonomy places the organism in Eukaryota, Metazoa, Chordata, Aves, Anseriformes, Anatidae. The transcript is spliced from 3 exons.
GCACAGCCUCCAGCGUGCGAGCAAGGUGUGAGCGUGGGGACAGCAUGCCAAGGAGCCCCCGGCAGGGGAAGGACUGGGGGAAGCUGGAGGGGAGAAAAGAGGGAAGGCAAGGAAGAGAAAUAGGUCGGAGGGAUGAAAGUCCAGGUUUGCUUGGAGCAGGAAUGCUGCCUGAGCGGCCGGUGGGUGCAGCGUGCUGCCUCUGUCCGGGUCAGGAGCAGGGAGGGAGCCUUCCUUCCCAUUGGAAAUGUGAUUUUAGGUACUUUCUGCUUUCCCUGGUGCCCACCUUUCACUGUGUCCUCUCUUGCCUGGAUCACCAAGGGCAGCUCAGUGCCUUUGUUAGUGAAUAACAGAGGGGCAGGCUUCUCUUCAGGAGCUUGGGACUUCUGGGUCCCCUUCACACCUAAGUGAUCUGCCUAAUUGGCUUGGCUUUUCCUCCUCCUCUCUUGCUCUCUGUGAGUUUCCCAUGACCUGUGGGCCUGCUUUUAGCAGGGGCUGGAGCAUGGGGAAAGGCAGCCGCCGUG